This 433-nucleotide ribosomal RNA is filed under the name uncultured bacterium. RNAcentral's name for it is "partial 16S ribosomal RNA". It matches the Rfam family "Bacterial small subunit ribosomal RNA", at positions 29 to 507 of the family's 1533-position model. The record is from RNAcentral.
AACGAACGCUGGCGGCAUGCCUAACACAUGCAAGUCGAACGAGACCUUCGGGUCUAGUGGCGCACGGGUGCGUAACGCGUGGGAACCUGCCCUUAGGUUCGGAAUAACUCCCCGAAAGGGGUGCUAAUACCGGAUAAUGUCUUCGGACCAAAGCUUUAUCGCCUUUGGAUGGGCCCGCGUUGUAUUAGGAAGUUGGUAGGGUAAAAGCCUACCAAGGCGACGAUCCAUAGCUGGUCUGAGAGGAGGAUCAGCCACACUGGGACUGGGUCACGGCCCAGACUCCUACGGGAGGCAGCAGUGGGGGAUAUUGGACAAUGGGCGAGAGGCUGAUACAGCAAUGCCGCGUGAGUGAUGAAGGCCUUAGGGUUGUAAAGCGCUUUUAACCGGGAUGAUAAUGACAGUACCGGGAGAAUAAGCUCCGGCUAACUACGUG